UACAGAGGUCCCAAGCGUUGUCCGGAUUCACUGGGCGUAAAGGGUGCGUAGGCGGUCGGGUAAGUCUGAUGUGAAAUCUCACAGCUUAACUGUGAAACUGCAUUGGAUACUAUCCGGCUCGAGGAAUGGAGGGGAGACUGGAAUACUUGGUGUAGCAGUGAAAUGCGUAGAUAUCAAGUGGAACACCAGUGGCGAAGGCGAGUCUCUGGACAUUUCCUGACGCUGAGGCACGAAGGCCAGGGGAGCAAACGGG
Molecule: ribosomal RNA, 253 nt
Filed under: uncultured bacterium
Lineage: Bacteria
Description: partial 16S ribosomal RNA
Rfam family: Bacterial small subunit ribosomal RNA
Source: RNAcentral